Molecule: ribosomal RNA, 386 nt
Filed under: Burkholderia sp. 3CBS2
Lineage: Bacteria; Pseudomonadati; Pseudomonadota; Betaproteobacteria; Burkholderiales; Burkholderiaceae
Description: bacterial SSU rRNA
Rfam family: Bacterial small subunit ribosomal RNA
Source: RNAcentral
UGCCGCGUGUGUGAAAAGGCCUUCGGGUUGUAAAGCACUUUUGUCCGGAAAGAAAACCUCUUGGUUAAUACCUGAGGGGGAUGACGGUACCGGAAGAAUAAGCACCGGCUAACUACGUGCCAGCAGCCGCGGUAAUACGUAGGGUGCGAGCGUUAAUCGGAAUUACUGGGCGUAAAGCGUGCGCAGGCGGUCUGUUAAGACCGAUGUGAAAUCCCCGGGCUUAACCUGGGAACUGCAUUGGUGACUGGCAGGCUUUGAGUGUGGCAGAGGGAGGUAGAAUUCCACGUGUAGCAGUGAAAUGCGUAGAGAUGUGGAGGAAUACCGAUGGCGAAGGCAGCCUCCUGGGCCAACACUGACGCUCAUGCACGAAAGCGUGGGGAGCAAAC